AGAUAUUGUUCGAGCGCUUUCUGGUUAACCUGGCCCAACUGGCUGAGGCGGGUAUUUGUCGCCUCCAGACGUUGCAUGAGCGUUGUCAGCGGCACAUGGGCGAGCUCGUGAUGUUGGGCGGGAGCAGGUCCGAGUUCCCGCAGUUUGCGCUCGGUCUCCGCUUUGCGUUGCUGGAGAUGCGUAUGACGUGCGACGUGGAUUUGUAGGCGCUGGCUUUCGGUGGCGAGGGCCUCCUUGGCUACGGGAAGUUGUGCCUCCAGUGAGUCACGCUUUCGAGCGAGGGCGUCAAGUUCGGUGGCUGUGCGCUGAAGCGCCUCAGCGAUGCGAUCCUGCGAGACUCGCUGGGCCUGGAGCACGCUGCCAAGCGUCUCGAGCUCUCUACGCAAGCUCGUCUGACGUGUUUGUAGCUCCGCUAUAGACGGAGGCGCUUCAUCCGGAUCGCUCUGCAACGCGACUGGCACAGAGAUGCCGGACGCUGAAUCGAAGAGCUCCGGUGCAUCCUCGAAAGUCUCGCGAAGAAAACGUUUCUCCAGCUCCCGCAACUGACGCUCGAUGCACGUUUCCAACUCGCUUUCAAUCUCGACGAGACGCUGCUCGAGGGUAGCACGUGCUGCAGCGACUGAUUCUAGCUCUUUUUCGAGUGCAGCAAGCCGGGCAACGAAGGCAUCUGCAGAAAUCGCUGUCUGCGGUGUAGGUGAUGACGAUGAGGAUGAGAGUGCUGCGGUCCGUUCCGAAAACUCAUCGCGCAAGCUGCUGAGCACCAGUUCAUAUUCGUGAACAUGUCGCUGCAGGGUUUGCAUGCGCUGCCGUUCAGUCUCGAGCGCAGCCUCAAUGGAGAGCUUCUCACGAUCCAGUUGGGUGAGCGCACGUUGAUGGUCGCGCAACUGAUUGAAUAGGUUGCGCUUUUCAGCUUCGGAUUUCUGGAGUUCGUUCAUCGUCCGCUGAAUCUGCGAUUCCAGUGCGGCAAGUUGUGCUCGGAUUUGCUCACGCUCGGACUCAAUCUGUUGAAUUUGGAUGCGGAUCUUGUCGUAACGCAGCAGCGAGGCAAGUCGAGACUGGCGCCGAUCCGUGUAUCCACCGUGCAUUGCCCCGCGUUUGUUCACAAGGUCGCCCUCUAGGGUCACGCAAGGCACAUUGUACCCGCGAGCCAGUUUCGAUGCGAUUAAUAUGGAGCGAGCAAUGAGCGUUCCAGCCACCACGCGCUCAAAUACAGGGCUGAAGCGCUCAUCGCGUAGGCGCAGCCGCGAAACCAACGGAACAGCCUCUUCGGUGGGUGGCGGGCUCAUAGAGUUGCGCUUCGCGGCGUCUGAUGCAUCGUCUCGUACCCGGUUCAGAGGAAUGAAGGUUAACCGGCCUGCAUUGGCUUCGCGUAGCCUUUGAAUGAGAUAUGCCGCGGUUUCAUCGGUAUCUACAACGAUGUAGCAGAGCGCCGACCCCAUUGCAGCCUCGACGGCGACGUAAAACUUUUCAUCCGUCUCGAAGAGCGUAUAGAGUGGGCCGUAGAUCGUACCGCUGUACUGCAGGUUGCAGAUAUACUGAUACGCGUUGAGAAACUUGCUUCCGACCGACAUGCGUUUGCGGCGCUCGCUCUCCGUGAGUUCGGAUAGCAACGUAGCACGCGAGCUCUCGAGUUCUGCUUCUCGACGCCAUAGUUCCUGACGUGCUCGAUGCGCUUCGUUGCGCUCACGUUUUAACUCGGCUAGACGCGCAUUCAACGCGUUCAACUGUUCACGAUCCGAGGCAAAUUGGGUUUCAUUAGUUUUGCGACGCUCGGCUAUACUCGAUAGCUCAAAUUCAAGACGAUGAAUUUCUCGUUCCGUUUCCUGCAACUGGGAUCGCGUUUCAUGUCGCAGCUCUUCGUUCCGUGCAAUCUCGUUA
Molecule: RNA transcript, 1878 nt
Organism: Cyanidioschyzon merolae strain 10D
Lineage: Eukaryota; Rhodophyta; Bangiophyceae; Cyanidiales; Cyanidiaceae
Exons: 1
Source: RefSeq, a predicted model, not a curated record